Camelina sativa (false flax) is the source of this 302-nucleotide non-coding RNA. NCBI's taxonomy places the organism in Eukaryota, Viridiplantae, Streptophyta, Magnoliopsida, Brassicales, Brassicaceae. The record is from RefSeq and is a predicted model, not a curated record.
GCUAUUUGCUUCUUCUGUCUGUACUUUAAUAUCUCUGACGUCCUGGUUACAGAUUGAGCAUGCCCAACAUUUGGCACCAGGAUCAGCCAACCGGUUUGGUCAACUUCAGAUUGUAGCUUCAGUUCAGCCGGAUCAUUUGCUUGAUGAUGCUGAAUCUGUUGUUAAGAAGCUCGGUUCUGAGAGAGGCCUAACGGAGUCUUAUCUAUUCCAAUCUCUCUUAAAUGGCAAUGCACUCUUGGCGCUUGGUUCAGACUGGCCUGUAGCAGACAUUAACCCGUUGAACAGUAUUAGAACCGCGGUGA